AUUGAACGCUGGCGGCAGGCCUAACACAUGCAAGUCGAGCGGAUGACGGGAGCUUGCUCCUUGAUUCAGCGGCGGACGGGUGAGUAAUGCCUAGGAAUCUGCCUGGUAGUGGGGGACAACGUUUCGAAAGGAACGCUAAUACCGCAUACGUCCUACGGGAGAAAGCAGGGGACCUUCGGGCCUUGCGCUAUCAGAUGAGCCUAGGUCGGAUUAGCUAGUUGGUGAGGUAAUGGCUCACCAAGGCGACGAUCCGUAACUGGUCUGAGAGGAUGAUCAGUCACACUGGAGCUGAGACACGGUCCAGACUCCUACGGGAGGCAGCAGUGGGGAAUAUUGGACAAUGGGCGAAAGCCUGAUCCAGCCAUGCCGCGUGUGUGAAGAAGGUCUUCGGAUUGUAAAGCACUUUAAGUUGGGAGGAAGGGCAGUAAGCUAAUACCUUGCUGUUUUGACGUUGCCGACAGAAUAAGCACCGGCUAACUCUGUGCCAGCCGCCGCCGUAA
RNAcentral lists this ribosomal RNA (500 nucleotides) under uncultured bacterium. Its description in RNAcentral is "partial 16S ribosomal RNA". It matches the Rfam family "Bacterial small subunit ribosomal RNA", at positions 30 to 523 of the family's 1533-position model. The record is from RNAcentral.